Molecule: small nuclear RNA, 198 nt
Organism: Euleptes europaea (tarantolino)
Lineage: Eukaryota; Metazoa; Chordata; Lepidosauria; Squamata; Sphaerodactylidae
Product: U2 spliceosomal RNA
Exons: 1
Source: RefSeq, a predicted model, not a curated record
GUCACUUCUCGGCCUUUUGGCUAAGAUCAAGUGUAGUACCCUCCCAAUUUAACAGAGAUGUUCUGAUGUGAAGCAUGACAAACUAUGGAGGACAUUUUAAAAAAAAUCAUCUGAAUGAAGUGCUUGUUUUCUCAGGCCUGUCAGACGCCAGCUCACAUUGCAGGUAUGAAUGAAUUAAACACAACAGAGGCCUCCUCU